CCUACGGGAGGCAGCAGUGGGGAAUUUUGCGCAAUGGGGGCAACCCUGACGCAGCAACGCCGCGUGAGUGAUGAAGGCCUUCGGGUCGUAAAGCUCUGUCAGAGGGGAAGAAAUGCAGGUGGUGAACAACCAUUCUGUUUGACGGUACCCUCAAAGGAAGCACCGGCUAACUCCGUGCCAGCAGCCGCGGUAAUACGGAGGGUGCGAGCGUUGUUCGGAAUUAUUGGGCGUAAAGCGCGUGUAGGCGGUUUGUUAAGUCUGAGGUGAAAGCCCCGGGCUCAACCGGGGAAGUGCAUUGGAUACUGGCAGACUUGAGUACGGGAGAGGAGAGUGAAAUUCCCAGUGUAGGAGUGAAAGCCGUAGAUAUUGGGAGGAACACCGGUGGCGAGGGCGGCUCUCUGGACCGUUCCUGACGCUGAGGCGCGAAGGCUGGGGGAGCGAACAGGAUUAGAUCCCCUUGUAGU
RNAcentral lists this ribosomal RNA (464 nucleotides) under uncultured Geobacteraceae bacterium. Its description in RNAcentral is "partial 16S ribosomal RNA". It matches the Rfam family "Bacterial small subunit ribosomal RNA", at positions 338 to 794 of the family's 1533-position model. Lineage: Bacteria; Pseudomonadati; Thermodesulfobacteriota; Desulfuromonadia; Geobacterales; Geobacteraceae. The record is from RNAcentral.